RNAcentral lists this non-coding RNA (24 nucleotides) under Arabidopsis thaliana (thale cress). The record is from RNAcentral. Lineage: Eukaryota; Viridiplantae; Streptophyta; Magnoliopsida; Brassicales; Brassicaceae.
AGCGGAGAUUGAAACUGAGAUCGU